RNAcentral lists this ribosomal RNA (753 nucleotides) under uncultured Actinomyces sp. RNAcentral's name for it is "bacterial SSU rRNA". It matches the Rfam family "Bacterial small subunit ribosomal RNA", at positions 28 to 776 of the family's 1533-position model. Lineage: Bacteria; Bacillati; Actinomycetota; Actinomycetes; Actinomycetales; Actinomycetaceae. The record is from RNAcentral.
GACGAACGCUGGCGGCGUGCUUAACACAUGCAAGUCGAACGCUGAAGCCUGGCUUUGUGUUGGGUGGAUGAGUGGCGAACGGGUGAGUAACACGUGAGUAACCUGCCCUCUUCUUCGGGAUAACGGUCUGAAAGGGUUGCUAAUACCGGGUAUUCACUGGUCCUCGCAUGGGGGUUGGUGGAAAGGUUUUUUCUGGUGGGGGAUGGGCUCGCGGCCUAUCAGCUUGUUGGUGGGGUGAUGGCCUACCAAGGCUUUGACGGGUAGCCGGCCUGAGAGGGUGACCGGUCACAUUGGGACUGAGAUACGGCCCAGACUCCUACGGGAGGCAGCAGUGGGGAAUAUUGCACAAUGGGCGAAAGCCUGAUGCAGCGACGCCGCGUGAGGGAUGGAGGCCUUCGGGUUGUGAACCUCUUUCGCCCGUGGUCAAGCCGCAACGUGGGUUGUGGUGAGGGUAGUGGGUAAAGAAGCGCCGGCUAACUACGUGCCAGCGGCCGCGGUAAUACGUAGGGCGCGAGCGUUGUCCGGAAUUAUUGGGCGUAAAGGGCUUGUAGGCGGCUGGUCGCGUCUGCCGUGAAAUCCUCUGGCUCAACUGGGGGCGUGCGGUGGGUACGGGCUGGCUUGAGUGCGGUAGGGGAGGCUGGAACUCCUGGUGUAGCGGUGGAAUGCGCAGAUAUCAGGAAGAACACCGGUGGCGAAGGCGGGUCUCUGGGCCGUUACUGACGCUGAGGAGCGAAAGCGUGGGGAGCGAACAGG